UGCGAGGUGGAGCAGUCUGGUAGCUCGUCGGGCUCAUAACCCGAAGGUCACAGGUUCAAAUCCUGUCCUCGCUACCA
This 77-nucleotide transfer RNA is filed under the name Candidatus Cloacimonas sp. 4484_143. Its description in RNAcentral is "tRNA-Met". It matches the Rfam family "tRNA". From Rfam's summary of the family: Transfer RNA (tRNA) molecules are approximately 80 nucleotides in length. Their secondary structure includes four short double-helical elements and three loops (D, anti-codon, and T loops). Further hydrogen bonds mediate the characteristic L-shaped molecular structure. tRNAs have two regions of fundamental functional importance: the anti-codon, which is responsible for specific mRNA codon recognition, and the 3' end, to which the tRNAs corresponding amino acid is attached (by aminoacyl-tRNA synthetases). tRNAs cope with the degeneracy of the genetic code in two manners: having more than one tRNA (with a specific anti-codon) for a particular amino acid; and 'wobble' base-pairing, i.e. permitting non-standard base-pairing at the 3rd anti-codon position. The record is from RNAcentral. RNAcentral also lists the same sequence under 5 other names. Lineage: Bacteria; Pseudomonadati; Candidatus Cloacimonadota; Cloacimonadia (SeqCode); Cloacimonadales (SeqCode); Cloacimonadaceae (SeqCode).